GGUUACUGCUAUCGGUGUUCGCCUAAGCCAUGCGAGUCAUAUGUUCUUCGGAACAUGGCGUACUGCUCAGUAACACGUGGAUAACCUGCCCUUGGGUCCGGCAUAACCCCGGGAAACUGGGGAUAAUUCCGGAUAACGCACAUAUGCUGGUAUGCUUUAUGCGUCAAAUGGAUUCGUCCGCCCAAGGAUGGGUCUGCGGCCUAUCAGGUAGUAGUGGGUGUAAUGUACCUACUAGCCUACGACGGGUACGGGUUGUGAGAGCAAGAGCCCGGAGAUGGAUUCUGAGACAUGAAUCCAGGCCCUACGGGGCGCAGCAGGCGCGAAAACUUUACAAUGCGGGAAACCGUGAUAAGGGGUCACCGAGUGCCAGCAUCAUAUGUUGGCUGUCCGGGUGUGUAAAAUACACCUGUUAGCAAGGGCCGGGCAAGACCGGUGCCAGCCGCCGCGGUAACACCGGCGGCCCGAGUGGUGAUCGUGAUUAUUGGGUCUAAAGGGUCCGUAGCCGGUUUGGUCAGUCCUCCGGGAAAUCUGACGGCUUAACCGUUAGGCUUUCGGGGGAUACUGCCAGACUUGGAACCGGGAGAGGUAAGAGGUACUACAGGGGUAGGAGUGAAAUCUUGUAAUCCCUGUGGGACCACCUGUGGCGAAGGCGUCUUACCAGAACGGGUUCGACGGUGAGGGACGAAAGCUGGGGGCACGAACCGGAUUAGAUACCCGGGUAGUCCCAGCCGUAAACGAUGCUCGCUAGGUGUCAGGCAUGGCG
Molecule: ribosomal RNA, 763 nt
Filed under: uncultured archaeon
Lineage: Archaea
Description: bacterial SSU rRNA
Rfam family: Archaeal small subunit ribosomal RNA
Source: RNAcentral